Molecule: ribosomal RNA, 880 nt
Filed under: uncultured organism
Description: bacterial SSU rRNA
Rfam family: Bacterial small subunit ribosomal RNA
Source: RNAcentral
UCCUGGCUCAGGAUGAACGCUAGCGGCGCGCUUAAUGCAUGCAAGUCGAGCGAUGAGGCUCCUUCGGGGGUACAUCAGCGGCAGACGGGUGAGUAACACGUAGGUGACCUACCCUCGAGACGGGGAUAACGGCUGGAAACAGUCGCUAAUACCCGAUAGACUUACCAGGUCAAAGCGGUAAGAAAAGCUACGGUGCUUGAGGAGGGGCCUGCGGCCCAUCAGCUAGUUGGUAGGGUAACGGCCUACCAAGGCGAAGACGGGUAGGGGGUGUGAGAGCACGAGCCCCCACAAUGGGACUGCGACACGGCCCAUACUCCUACGGGAGGCAGCAGCAGGGAAUAUUGCACAAUGGACGGAAGUCUGAUGCAGCGACGCCGCGUGAGUGAAGACGGCCUUCGGGUUGUAAAGCUCUUUUACGGGGGACGAGGAAGGACGGUACCCUGGGAAGAAGUGUCGGCUAACUACGUGCCAGCAGCCGCGGUAAGACGUAGGACACAAGCGUUAUCCGGAGUUACUGGGCGUAAAGCGCCUGCAGGCGGCCUGGUAAGUUGGACGUGAAAGCCCCGUGCUUAACGCGGGGAGGUCGGACAAUACUGCCAAGCUAGAGUGCGUCAGAGGGGAGUGGAAUUUCCGGAGUAGCGGUAAAAUGCGCAGAUAUCGGAAGGAACACCAGUGGCGAAAGCGACUCCCUGGGGUGCGACUGACGCUAAGAGGCGAAAGCUAGGGGAGCGAACAGGAUUAGAGACCCUGGUAGUCCUAGCCCUAAACGAUGGAUGCUAGGUGUGGGACGUAAAGUUCCGUGCCGGAGCCAACGCGAUAAGCAUCCCGNCUGGGGACUACGGUCGCAAGGCUAAAACUCAAACGAAUUGACGGGGACCCG